CUGCUGCCUUCCGUAGGAGUCUGGUCCGUGUCUCAGUACCAGUGUGGGGGACCUUCCUCUCAGAACCCCUACGCAUCGUCGCCUUGGUGGGCCGUUACCCCGCCAACAAGCUAAUGCGACGCAUGACCAUCCGUAGCCGGAAUCGCUUCCUUUAAACCCACAGAGAUGCCUCCAUGGGUUGUUACGCGGUAUUAGACGGAAUUUCUUCCGCUUAUCCCCCUGCUACGGGCAGGUUUCAUACGUGUUACUCACCCGUGCGCCGGUCGCCGG
This 270-nucleotide ribosomal RNA is filed under the name uncultured bacterium. Its description in RNAcentral is "partial 16S ribosomal RNA". The record is from RNAcentral.